This is a long non-coding RNA of Mercenaria mercenaria, 799 nucleotides long. RefSeq lists it as uncharacterized. Lineage: Eukaryota; Metazoa; Mollusca; Bivalvia; Venerida; Veneridae. The record is from RefSeq and is a predicted model, not a curated record. The transcript has 3 exons.
AAAAAUAUGGAGUUCCGGUUUAGACCAUGGGCGUGCGACGACCCCGAUGAAAUUCGGGAUAUCACGGUCUUCGUUAAUGUUAAUAAGCGUCCGUCAGAUCAGUAGGCGAAACGCAAUAUCCGCACAAUAAGAUGUCUGCGAUCCGAAAGAAUAUUCAAAGUAAGCUGUUAAUUUUGUUGCGUCAGAAGCUAAUCAGCCGGUAACGUGACUACACUGAUAUAAUUUGUGAUACAAACAUACUUUAUUCAAUACUGAAUAGCAUUUUUAAACGGCGACAUUUUGAACAUUUUUAUAUUUAGAGUGAGAGGGAUACACGUUACACUGUUACACUGGCGCCGACAUUUUGAAAAUUUGAGGAAACAAAAACAUUCUCCAACGAGUUCUUCAGCUCGGGGAAUGAGAGAAUAGAUUCACCUUUGUGUCGCUUUUCAGAUCGUAUUUUAAUUCCUUUCCGGUACUUUAGUUUCUUUGAACUUCUCUGUUACUAAGCCUACUGUAUAUUGAAUUUUUAAAAUUAAGAAAUCUGUGAUUUUACUUGCAGGCAUGACUGAUUAAUGGAAUUAUUUUACUUUUAUAUAGAAUAUGGAUGGCACUCCAGUACAACAUGUGCAUGGUUGGACCUGUUGACAUUUUUUAGAAAUGCAUCUUGGUCUAUUAUACAGAGUAUUGUUGUACUGCUCCAAAGUGCGUGUUGACAGACUGAAACCACUUGCUUGCGGCUGGUAAGGUAUUUCUAUCUUUCUGUUUCUUUAUUAUGUAGUUGCAGCUGUGGGAAGCAGUUUCAGUCAUUCAGAAAGCA